CGAAGGGCUAGCGUUGUUCGGAAUUACUGGGCGUAAAGCGCACGUAGGCGGAUAUUUAAGUCAGGGGUGAAAUCCCGGGCUCAACCCCGGAACUGCCUUUGAUACUGGGUAUCUUGAGUUCGGAAGAGGUAAGUGGAAUUGCGAGUGUAGAGGUGAAAUUCGUAGAUAUUCGCAGGAACACCAGUGGCGAAGGCGGCUUACUGGUCCGAUACUGACGCUGAGGUGCGAAAGCGUGGGGAGCAAACAGGAUU
This 251-nucleotide ribosomal RNA is filed under the name uncultured bacterium. Its description in RNAcentral is "partial 16S ribosomal RNA". It matches the Rfam family "Bacterial small subunit ribosomal RNA", at positions 528 to 779 of the family's 1533-position model. The record is from RNAcentral.